Homo sapiens (human) is the source of this 3695-nucleotide long non-coding RNA. The record is from Ensembl. Lineage: Eukaryota; Metazoa; Chordata; Mammalia; Primates; Hominidae.
AAGCCUGGGGACUGCAGGCACAGUGAGGAAGGUAGGGAAGGGUCUCUCCAAGACAGGCCCACCAGGAGCCCCCACUGGGAAUAAUGCAGCCCCUCUCAGGGGAUGGAGUGUCUGGAAUUCCAUGGCUGAGGUGCAACAGGUGACUGAAGGUUUGAGGAGGCAACGCUGCCACUCACAGUCAGAAGCAGAGGGGAUGAGAUGGCCAGAUGUGAUUGGAAUCAGACACAGUGAGGUUUGAAUCCUCACUCUGUCCUUUUUGUUGUGUGGCCUGUGUGACAGGUCCCACAGCCUCUCCAGCCUCUGUGGGAAGAAGGAUCAUCUGAUGCCUAUGUAAUAGAGUUGCUGAAGGAGUGGAAGCAGCUUUGACAUUAUCAGUGGAACCCACCAGUGCAGACUGCUUCACCAAGGGCACCUGAGGCAGCAGAUCUGAGGAUUAGGGACGUAGGGAGCUGAAGCCUGGCUGGAGAGGUGGUGCGCACAAGAACCCCCACAUUCCCCGACAGGAGCCUGAAAAAGACGCCAUGUUGGGAGGACACGGAAGCAGUUCUAGGGAGAGGAGCACAUGGCAAGAAGCCAAGGCCUCCUGCCCACAGCCGAUACCCUGUGAUUGCCAGCAAGUAAACCAGAUGCAAUUGUGGUUUCCGUGAAGCACAGCUGGAAAACUGCUGCCCCCACGGAGGAAGAGGAAGAUGGGAAGAUGGUGGUUACUGCACACCAGGCACCAGCCUCGGGGCUAUGAGCUGUACAAACAUUACCCAUUUUAUCCUCGUGACCAUGUUCUGAGAAGGCUGUCAAUGAUCUCACUUUAUACAUGGGGAAAUUCAUGCAGACAGAGGCUGACUAAAUUGCCAUGGUCACUCAGCUAGUAGGAACUGGAGCUGUAACUUGAACCCGGGUCUUUUGUUUCUGUGGCUCCUGGUAGCACAUGCCGGGCUUGAAGUGAGAUCCGGAGGAUGUUGGAAACAACGUGUUCCCCAUCAUGAAAGUCCUUAUGAUACCUUAUGAUGCAGAGUUGGCAGCCAGGAGCAGGGGCUUCCAGAAGCAUGGCUGACCCUUGUUGGGAUCUCGCUCCUGUGAGCCUUGGAACGUCUAGGGAGAAAGAGCAGCCAAAUUUAGAGCUGCAGGAGCUUUGAGAUGCAGCUCAGGCAUCAUCUCUGGGAAGUCUUUCCUGGAACCACAGCCUGGGCCCUGUACCUGAUUCCCAGCCCCUGUGGCUCUUUUUGCAUUUGCUGCCUCUUUUCACAAUUCUGUCUCCUUAUGUCUUCCACUCUACACGCAAGCCCCUUGAGGGCAGGACCAUGACUCAGUCAUCCUGUACCCUAGCACCCACCCUGGGUCUGCAUCUGGAAGGAGCUCACUAAGUGAUUAUUGAGCCAAACUGAACUGUAGCAGGAGUGAGCAAAGCUAAUUCAUGGGUGCAGAAUGGGAGCACAGAGCUGCCAGAAUCCAGAGACAACUGUAACUGUCCCGGCACAGGGGGCUUCAGGCCGCGGUGAGAGCCACUGAAAGCAAGAGAGCCAGGUGGUGGCUCAGUUCACACUGAGUCCUGCUGAAGAAAUAGGCACAUCGUGUGUGUUAAAAUCAGCACCCCAUGCACCUGUAGGAAGAGACUGAGGCACCCUGGAGGCCCCUCCCAAUAAUUAAAAGGCCCUCUGGGGCCUGUGGGAGCCCUAGCUGAUGAAAUCACAAAGGCCUCAGCCUCUAAAGUGUUUCCAGUAAAAUGCUACCAGGAUUUUCCUCCCUUAAAUCUGGAUGAAAGGGCUGUCUGUGCUACAAAGUGCACACCUGGCGUUGAUACGCAGUCUCUUGCUGCCUGUUAACUAACCCACCAGCCGACAAGUUCUGCCCACUGGCAGGAGCAAGGACUUAUAAAAAAUAGUGCCUCCCUCCCAAGGGCUUAUGAGCUGGUUAAGUGCAGAGGACAAAUAGAAUGAAAGAAAAGGCAAUCUCGGCAUAGUAUUUAGUUAAUUCUUCUCUCUCUCUUGUUCCCUCUCUCUCCUUUCUCUCUUCCUCCCUCCUUUCUAUGACUUGUCCUCUCCACACAACUCCUUUUCCGUUUUCCCUCCCCUGCCUCCCCACCUUCUUUCUUGACUUCCCAUCUUGCUCCCUUUCUUCCUGCCUGCCCAUCUGCUUUCCUUUCUUAUCUCUGGUGCAAAUUCUGCAUAUAGUCGCUCUCCUCAUUUCAUGACAGGCUGUCUUCAUCAGUUUCUGAGUUCUUUUGUUAUUUUAUAAAAUAUUUUACAUGCUGUCCUCAAAAAAUCCCCUCCCCCAGAAAAGGCCCAUUCAAAAGUACUUACUAUACGUCCUUAGAUAGGCAAUGAUCUCUGAAAUAUAUAUAGGCUUGCUCUAUAUGUGUUUUUGUAAGUGUACUUUUCUUUCAUUAAAUAUGCAGAUCUUAAUUGUACAGUUUGAGGUGUUUUGACAAAGGUAUAUACCAGUAAAACCACCACCCCAACCAAGGUACCGAACACUUUCAUCUCUCUGGAAAGUCCCCUUGUGCCACCUUCCAGUCAACUCUCACCCUCCAGAGGCACCCACUGUUCAGAUUUCUACAUGCAUUUUGCCUGUUGCUGAACUGGAACCUCACAGCCUUUUACGUCUGGCUUCUUUCACUUAACAUAAUGUUUUUAAGUCAUCCAUGUAGUUCAUUCUUUUUUUUGUUGCAGAGCAAUAUUCCAUUGUGUGAAUGGAUGUACUUUAUCCAUCAACAGUUGAUGAAGUUGGGUUGGUGGCACUUUUUGGCUAUCGUGGGUAAUGCUGCUCUGGAUGUUUCUGCACAAGUCUUUAUUGUGGACAUGGGUUUCCAUUUCUUCUGGGCAAAUGCCCAGGAACAGAAUUGCUGAUUCAUUAGGAAGUUAUAUGUUUAACUUCAUAAGAAACUGGAAAACCGCACUCCACAGUGUUCAUGCUAUUGCACAUUGCCCCCAGUGCCAUGUGAAUGUUUCAUUCUUGGGGUCUAGAAUAUCUUACUGCAGUUUUAAUUGGAAGUUCUCUGAUGACUUUUGAUAGAGUAUCUUUUCAUGUGCUUAUUGGUUAUUUAUUUCUUCUUUAAAGAAGAGUCUAGAUCCUUUUCCCAUUUAAAAUUGCAUUGCUUCUAUUUUUACUGUUGAUUCUUAGAAGUUCUUUACAUAUUUUAGAUUUAUAUACAGUAAAUAUUUUCUCCCAGUCCAUGGCUUGCCUUUACCUUUUCUUAAUGGUGUCUUUUGAUUAACCAGACAUUUUAAAUUUUCAUGAAGCCUAUUGUAUCGGGGGUUGUUUUUGUUUGUUCAUUUAUGGUUAGUACUCUUUUUGGUGCUAGCCAGGAAAACUUUGCCUACAUUCUCCUAAGCUCAUGAAUAUAUUUUUCUAUAUUUGUUUCUAGGACAUUUAUAAUUCAAACUUUUAUGUUCUAGCCUAUCACUCAUGUAUAGUUAUGUAUAGUAUAAAUAAGGAUUGAAGUUCAUUUUUCUUUCCAUAUACUUAUCCAGUUAUUCCAGCACCAUUUGUUGAAAACACUUUCUUUCCCUCAUUGAAUUUCCUUGAAGCUUGUGCUCAUAACUUAUAUAACGAGUAUUGCGUUACAAUUUCCAUUAUAUUUCUUAAUUUUUCACUUAACACAAUGUUUAUAUGAUCUAUCCGCAAUGCUGUAUUCAGUCAUUUGAAUUCACUCAUUCAUUUUAUCAUUCAAUAAAUCUGCAGUGGUGAAGAAAACAGAA